Molecule: non-coding RNA, 72 nt
Organism: Phrynosoma platyrhinos (Desert horned lizard)
Lineage: Eukaryota; Metazoa; Chordata; Lepidosauria; Squamata; Phrynosomatidae
Source: the annotation of a GenBank genome assembly
GCCAGCAUAGCAUAGUGGCUUGAGUGUUGGACUUGGACUCUGGAGAUCAGGGUUCAAUUUCCAGUUCAGCCU